RNAcentral lists this ribosomal RNA (475 nucleotides) under Preussia sp. ZJLQ476. RNAcentral's name for it is "eukaryotic LSU rRNA". The stretch from base 162 to 315 matches the Rfam family "5.8S ribosomal RNA". Lineage: Eukaryota; Fungi; Ascomycota; Dothideomycetes; Pleosporales; Sporormiaceae. The record is from RNAcentral.
CCUGCGGAAGGAUCAUUAUCGUAGGGCUUCGGCCCUGUCGAGAUAGAACCCUUGCCUUUUUGAGUACCUUUCGUUUCCUCGGCAGGCUCGCCUGCCAAUGGGGACCACAAAAAACACUUUGCAGUACCUGUAACAGUCUGAACAAACAAACAAAAAAUUAAAACUUUCAACAACGGAUCUCUUGGUUCUGGCAUCGAUGAAGAACGCAGCGAAAUGCGAUAAGUAGUGUGAAUUGCAGAAUUCAGUGAAUCAUCGAAUCUUUGAACGCACAUUGCGCCCUUUGGUAUUCCUUAGGGCAUGCCUGUUCGAGCGUCAUUUAAACCUUCAAGCUAAGCUUGGUGUUGGGUGACUGUCCGCCUCACGGCGGACUCGCCUCAAAAUUAUUGGCGGCCGGUACAUUGGCUUCGAGCGCAGCAGAAACGCGAACUCGGGCCCGUCGUAUUGGCUCCCAGAAGCUAUCUUCACAAUUUUGACC